RNAcentral lists this non-coding RNA (68 nucleotides) under Uncinocarpus reesii 1704. Lineage: Eukaryota; Fungi; Ascomycota; Eurotiomycetes; Onygenales; Onygenaceae. The record is from RNAcentral.
CCUAAGCAAGACUUGCACCUCUACGUGGUGCUUAGGAUCAGUAGCCUGUAUGGCGAAGCCAAGCAAGU